RNAcentral lists this ribosomal RNA (297 nucleotides) under Bacillus cereus. RNAcentral describes it as "partial 23S ribosomal RNA". It matches the Rfam family "Bacterial large subunit ribosomal RNA", at positions 1237 to 1531 of the family's 2925-position model. The record is from RNAcentral. RNAcentral also lists the same sequence under 1 other name. Lineage: Bacteria; Bacillati; Bacillota; Bacilli; Caryophanales; Bacillaceae.
CGUUCUAAGUGCAGUGAAGUCAGACCGGAAGGACUGGUGGAGCGCUUAGAAGUGAGAAUGCCGGUAUGAGUAGCGAAAGACGGGUGAGAAUCCCGUCCACCGAAUGCCUAAGGUUUCCUGAGGAAGGCUCGUCCGCUCAGGGUUAGUCAGGACCUAAGCCGAGGCCGACAGGCGUAGGCGAUGGACAACAGGUUGAUAUUCCUGUACCACCUCUUUAUCGUUUGAGCAAUGGAGGGACGCAGAAGGAUAGAAGAAGCGUGCGAUUGGUUGUGCACGUCCAAGCAGUUAGGCUGAUAA